RNAcentral lists this long non-coding RNA (1197 nucleotides) under Gadus morhua (Atlantic cod). Its description in RNAcentral is "lncRNA (ENSGMOG00000030839.1)". The record is from RNAcentral. Lineage: Eukaryota; Metazoa; Chordata; Actinopteri; Gadiformes; Gadidae.
AUGGCAGACCAAAGUGGUCCACGGCGUCCUGAAACUGCACCAUUCAGUCCGAUUAGGGGACUCAUCUCGGACUCAGACUCAAAGAGUUACCCUCCUCUGGAGCCUCAGGAAGACCUCCAGACUGUUGGCCACCAAUUGCACCAUUCAGUCCGACAAGGGGACCCGAUUCGGCCUCAGAAGCCAAGUGGUCCCGCUCCCCUGGAUGAUUCUCAGGACCUCCAGACCGUUGGCAACCAACCGCACCACUCAGUCCAAUUGGGGGACCCAUUUCGGACUCAGACGCGACGUUGUCCCGCUACUCUGGAGCUCCAGGAAGACCUCCAGACCGUUGGCACCCAACCGCACCACUCAGUCCGAUUACGGGACCCAUUUGGGACUCAGACGCGACGUUGUCCCGCUACUCUGGAGCUCCAGGAAGACCUCCAGAGCGUUGGCACCCAACCGCACCACUCAGUCCGAUUACGGGACCCAUUUCGGACUCAGACGCAACGUUGUCCCGCUACUCUGGAGCUCCAGGAAGACCUCCAGACCGUUGGCACCCAACCGCACCACUCAGUCCGAUUACGGGACCCAUUUGGGACUCAGACGCGACGUUGUCCCGCUACUCUGGAGCUCCAGGAAGACCUCCAGACCGUUGGCACCCAACCGCACCACUCAGUCCGAUUACGGGACCCAUUUCGGACUCAGACGCGACGUUGUCCCGCUACUCUGGAGCUCCAGGAAGACCUCCAGACCGUUGGCAACCAACCGCCACACUCAGUCCGAUUACGGGACCCAUUUCGGACUCAGACCCGACGUUGUCCCGCUAAUCUGGAGCUCCAGGAAGACCUCCAGACCGUUGGCAAACAACCGCACCAUUCAGUCCGAUUAGGGGACCCAUUUCGGCCUCAGACGCUACGUUGUCCCGCUACUCUGUUUGUGAUGCUCAUACACCUUUCUUAUACUCAGUGGGACCACUGUCCUUCAACAUGGGGCCUCAAAACGGUAUCACACGAAGCCCAUAAAAUUACAGUGAGCCACCUGCUAAAUUUCUUGUUUACUAGAGCCCUGGUAGAUAUUAUGACCCCUGGGAGUCUAAACACAACCCAUGGGAGUCUAAACACAACCCAUGGUAGUCUAGAACUUUUGUACUUUUGUAAAAUAACGCUUAGGGGGUGGGGCAUUGGAGGAAGGCGGGAUGAUUUGAAUGUGCUGUAA